This 460-nucleotide ribosomal RNA is filed under the name uncultured bacterium. RNAcentral's name for it is "partial 16S ribosomal RNA". It matches the Rfam family "Bacterial small subunit ribosomal RNA", at positions 338 to 795 of the family's 1533-position model. The record is from RNAcentral.
CCUACGGGAGGCAGCAGUGAGGAAUAUUGGUCAAUGGACGAGAGUCUGAACCAGCCAAGUAGCGUGAAGGAUGACUGCCCUAUGGGUUGUAAACUUCUUUUAUAUGGGAAUAAAAUGUUCCACGUGUGGGAUUUUGUAUGUACCAUAUGAAUAAGGAUCGGCUAACUCCGUGCCAGCAGCCGCGGUAAUACGGAGGAUCCGAGCGUUAUCCGGAUUUAUUGGGGUUAAAGGGAGCGUAGGUGGAUUGUUAAGUCAGUUGUGAAAGUUUGCGGCUCAACCGUAAAAUUGCAGUUGAAACUGGCAGUCUUGAGUACAGUAGAGGUGGGCGGAAUUCGUGGUGUAGCGGUGAAAUGCUUAGAUAUCACGAAGAACUCCGAGUGCGAAGGCAGUUCACUGGACUGCAACUGACACUGAGGCUCGAAAGUGUGGGUAUCAAACAGGAUUAGAUACCCUAGUAGUC